AGUGAACGCUGGCGGUAGGCCUAACACAUGCAAGUCGAACGGCAGCACAGUAAGAGCUUGCUCUUACGGGUGGCGAGUGGCGGACGGGUGAGGAAUACAUCGGAAUCUACUUUUUCGUGGGGGAUAACGUAGGGAAACUUACGCUAAUACCGCAUACGACCUACGGGUGAAUGCAGGGGAUCUUCGGACCUUGCGCGAUUGAAUGAGCCGAUGUCGGAUUAGCUAGUUGGCGGGGUAAAGGCCCACCAAGGCGACGAUCCGUAGCUGGUCUGAGAGGAUGAUCAGCCACACUGGAACUGAGACACGGUCCAGACUCCUACGGGAGGCAGCAGUGGGGAAUAUUGGACAAUGGGCGCAAGCCUGAUCCAGCCAUACCGCGUGGGUGAAGAAGGCCUUCGGGUUGUAAAGCCCUUUUGUUGGGAAAGAAAAGCAGCAGGUUAAUACCCCGCUGCUCUGACGGUACCCAAAGAAUAAGCACCGGCUAACUUCGUG
RNAcentral lists this ribosomal RNA (492 nucleotides) under uncultured bacterium. Its description in RNAcentral is "partial 16S ribosomal RNA". It matches the Rfam family "Bacterial small subunit ribosomal RNA", at positions 29 to 507 of the family's 1533-position model. The record is from RNAcentral.